GUGUGAAAGAUGGUGAUUGCCCUCUUUGUUGUCUGGUGUUCUUUAUGUUCCCUACAGGAGCUGCCGAUACAAAGGCCUGACCCAGAAGAAAUUCUGCGUCACCUGUACCAUCAAGAUCAAGAUCAAGAUCCCACCGGCGCUGCCGCCACAACCACCCGCUCUUGUGGCAGGGGCCGGCAGGGACGCGCUGGGACGCAUCCUCUUCACCGACCCACACAAAUACAAGGACGCCAUAUACAAGAGGUGGACACAGCGGGAAAAGAAGAAAAAAGAACUUCAACAUUAGCGGAACAAAGAACGAGAAGAAGUAAGGAGCUUCCGUUGCAACAUCUACAUCUACAUCUACCACUAAUGGCCACCGGGAUACGUGUCUUAUUUAAUGAUUUCCGAGGCCCCUGGCGGUCAUGGAGGGCGGUGAGCAGUGCCUGAUUGUGUUAAGAUGUGGAGAAACAGACCAAGGAAAGAGGAGGAAGAGGAAGA
This 480-nucleotide unclassified non-coding RNA is filed under the name Portunus trituberculatus (swimming crab). RNAcentral's name for it is "uncharacterized LOC123502380, transcript variant X3". Lineage: Eukaryota; Metazoa; Arthropoda; Malacostraca; Decapoda; Portunidae. The record is from RNAcentral.